AACCGUGCAAAGGUAGCGUAAUCACUUGUCUUUUAAAUAAAGACCAGUAUGAAUGGCUAAAUGAGGGCGGACCUGUCUCCUGCGCCCAAUCAGUGAAAUUGAUCUCCUGGUACAAAAGCCAGAAUAAUAACAUAAGACGAGAAGACCCUGUGGAGCUUAAAAUUUAUUACUAUUCAAGAACUAGUAUUGAUUUUAAGUUGGGGCGACUUCGGAACAAAACAAAACUUCCGAGCAAGGAACAAACCACUUCCUAACAAGGCCCACAAGCCAACUUAGCCGACCCAGUCAUACUGAUCAACGAACCAAGUUACCCCAGGGAUAACAGCGCAAUCCCCUCCAAGAGUCCAUAUCGACAAGGGGGUUUACGACCUCGAUGUUGGAUCAGGACACCCCAAUGGUGCAGCCGCUAUUAAUGGUUCGUUUGUUCAACGAUUAACAGUCCUACGUGAUC
RNAcentral lists this ribosomal RNA (451 nucleotides) under Ablepharus budaki. Its description in RNAcentral is "partial 16S ribosomal RNA". It matches the Rfam family "Bacterial large subunit ribosomal RNA", at positions 1944 to 2605 of the family's 2925-position model. Lineage: Eukaryota; Metazoa; Chordata; Lepidosauria; Squamata; Scincidae. The record is from RNAcentral.